AAUAUUGGACAAUGGGGGCAACCCUGAUCCAGCCAUGCCGCGUGUGUGAAGAAGGUCUACUGAUUGUAAAGCACUUCAAGUUGGGAGGAAGUGCUUUAAGUUAAUACCCUGAAGUUUUGACGUUACCAACAGAAUAAUCACCGGCUAACUCUGUGACAGCAGCCGCGGUAAUACGUAGGGUGCAACCGUUAAUCGGAAUUACUGGGCGUAAAGCGCGCGUAGGUGGUUCAGUAAGAUGGGUGUGAAAUCCCCGGGCUUAACCUGGGAACUGCUUUCAUAACUGCUGGGCUAGAGUACGGUAGAGGGUAGUGGAAUUUCCUGUGUAGCGGUGAAAUGCGUAGAUAUAGGAAGGAACACCAGUGGCGAAGGCGACUACCUGGACUGAUACUGACACUGAGGUGCGAAAGCGUGGGGAGCAAAC
RNAcentral lists this ribosomal RNA (421 nucleotides) under uncultured bacterium. RNAcentral describes it as "partial 16S ribosomal RNA". It matches the Rfam family "Bacterial small subunit ribosomal RNA", at positions 360 to 773 of the family's 1533-position model. The record is from RNAcentral.